Molecule: long non-coding RNA, 472 nt
Filed under: Brassica napus (rape)
Lineage: Eukaryota; Viridiplantae; Streptophyta; Magnoliopsida; Brassicales; Brassicaceae
Description: long non-coding RNA (BNAP_LNC009306)
Source: RNAcentral
AAAAACAAAUGAAGAAAGGAAGGGACGAAAGUGACUCGAGCAAAGCGAGAGGGAUGAAAUGACUAACGAAUAAAGGGUUAUCAUGGAUUCCGAUUUGGAAGCUUGAAUAGUGAUAGAUAAGACAACUCAACUAGAUUUCACGUCUUUUCUUGAAAGUGCCUUUCCAUCGCAAGUAACUGAGCUAUCUAGGGUUCAAAACCUGGGGAAGUCAUUUCAACAGAAGCCUUACCAAAGUCAAGAGAUUGGGCUCCUAUAGCUAUAGUUGGAGCUUUUACGAACAGGUUUAGAGUAGGCAAUUCCAGUUCAAGUUUCAGAUUGGGCUCCUAUAGCUAUAGUUGGAGCUUUUACGAACAGGUUUAGAGUAGGCAAUUCCAGUUCAAGUUUCAGCUUGAUAGCUAUAUCUUUCCUUUCUUAACUGGGUUUUUGAACUUCACAUAUAGCCCAUCAGCUUGUGACUUCGCAAUCUCAGUUU